RNAcentral lists this small RNA (591 nucleotides) under Pan troglodytes (chimpanzee). RNAcentral's name for it is "processed transcript". The record is from RNAcentral. Lineage: Eukaryota; Metazoa; Chordata; Mammalia; Primates; Hominidae.
CCAGUGUCUGCUGCGAUCGAGUCCCACCUUCCAAGUCCUGGCAUCUCAAUGCAUCUGGGAAGCUACCUGCAUUAAGUCAGGACUGAGCACACAGGUGAACUCCAGAAAGAAGAAGCUAUGGCCGCAGUGAUUCUGGAGAGCAUCUUUCUGAAGCGAUCCCAACAGAAAAAGAAAACAUCACCUCUAAACUUCAAGAAGCGCCUGUUUCUCUUGACCGUGCACAAACUCUCCUACUAUGAGUAUGACUUUGAACGUGGGAGAAGAGGCAGUAAGAAGGGUUCAAUAGAUGUUGAGAAGAUCACUUGUGUUGAAACAGUGGUUCCUGAAAAAAAUCCUCCUCCAGAAAGACAGAUUCCGGUAAGAAGAGACCAAUGUCUGAGAUGGGGAACAGCAGAUUUGAAGAAAUUUGCAACAUUUAAAUUCUCUGUAAAUAGACUGACUGGUGAUGCUGUGCAACGUGGAACACGGUCAAGUUUCCUUUAAAAAUUCUUCACUCUACCAUAUUGGUUAUAAAGAAUCUUAGCUUCUUUCCUUCAUAUUCAGAACAUCUCACUAAACAUGGAAAAUUCGUUAACACAAACUUUUAAAUGA